CAAGUCUGGUGCCAGCAGCCGCGGUAAUUCCAGCUCUAAUAGCGUAUAUUAAUACUGUUGCAGUUAAAACGCUCGUAGUUGAACUUAGGAUUAUUACAAGUCUGGUUUUGUUGAUUCAAAACUGCUUGCUUAAUCCUUAUCUACUAGAUACUCUAUUCUGUACUUAAUUGUAUGGAAUAUCACCUAGCCAGUGGAACUUUGGUUAAAUGGUGCCUUUAUUAAUACCAGAGUGUAAAAACUUGAAGUGUUAAACAAGGGAUCACACUAUUUGAUUGAAGUGGGGUUCUAGUUAAUUUACUUUGAGUAAAUUAGAGUGUUCAAAGCAGCCUCUUGGGGCUUUGAAUAGAUUUAGCAUGGGAUAAUAAAAUAGGAUUUGAUAACCUAUUUGUUGGUUUGAAGUUAAUCAAAUAAUGAUUAAUAGGGACAGUUGGGGGGCAUUCAUAUUAAAUGGUUAGCGGUGAAAUGUGUGGACC
RNAcentral lists this ribosomal RNA (473 nucleotides) under uncultured eukaryote. RNAcentral's name for it is "bacterial SSU rRNA". It matches the Rfam family "Eukaryotic small subunit ribosomal RNA", at positions 556 to 926 of the family's 1831-position model. The record is from RNAcentral.